CCAGACUCCUACNGGAGGCAGCAGUGGGGAAUUNUGGACAAUGGGCGAAAGCCUGAUCCAGCAAUGCCGCGUGUGUGAAGAAGGCCUUCGGGUUGUAAAGCACUUUUGUCCGGAAAGAAAUCCUUGGCUCUAAUACAGUCGGGGGAUGACGGUACCGGAAGAAUAAGCACCGGCUAACUACGUGCCAGCAGCCGCGGUAAUACGUAGGGUGCAAGCGUUAAUCGGAAUUACUGGGCGUAAAGCGUGCGCAGGCGGUUUGCUAAGACCGAUGUGAAAUCCCCGGGCUCAACCUGGGAACUGCAUUGGUGACUGGCAGGCUAGAGUAUGGCAGAGGGGGGUAGAAUUCCACGUGUAGCAGUGAAAUGCGUAGAGAUGUGGAGGAAUACCGAUGGCGAAGGCAGCCCCCUGGGCCAAUACUGACGCUCAUGCACGAAAGCGUGGGGAGCAAACAGGAUUAGAUACCCUGGUAGUCCACGCCCUAAACGAUGUCAACUAGUUGUUGGGGAUUCAUUUCCUUAGUAACGUAGCUAACGCGUGAAGUUGACCGCCUGGGGAGUACGGUCGCAAGAUUAAAACUCAAAGGAAUUGACGGGGACCCGCACAAGCGGUGGAUGAUGUGGAUUAAUUCGAUGCAACGCGAAAAACCUUACCUACCCUUGACAUGGUCGGAAUCCUGAAGAGAUUCGGGUGUGCUCGAAAGAG
Molecule: ribosomal RNA, 702 nt
Filed under: Burkholderia vietnamiensis
Lineage: Bacteria; Pseudomonadati; Pseudomonadota; Betaproteobacteria; Burkholderiales; Burkholderiaceae
Description: bacterial SSU rRNA
Rfam family: Bacterial small subunit ribosomal RNA
Source: RNAcentral